GGGCACAGAGAUGGAGCCUUUCAGUUCGGCUGGAUCGGAGACAGGUGCUGCAUGGCUGUCGUCAGCUCGUGUCGUGAGAUGUUGGGUUAAGUCCCGCAACGAGCGCAACCCUCGCCCUUAGUUGCCAUCAUUCAGUUGGGCACUCUAAGGGGACUGCCGGUGAUAAGCCGGAGGAAGGUGGGGAUGACGUCAAGUCCUCAUGGCCCUUACAGGUUGGGCUACACACGUGCUACAAUGGCGGUGACAGAGGGACGCAAUGGAGUAAUCCUGCGCAAAUCUCAAAAAGCCGUCUCAGUUCGGAUUGUGCUCUGCAACUCGAGCACAUGAAGUUGGAAUCGCUAGUAAUCGCAGAUCAGCACGCUGCGGUGAAUACGUUCCCGGGCCUUGUACACACCGCCCGUCACACCAUGGGAGUUGGCUUUACCUGAAGACGGUGCGCUAACCGCAAGGAGGCAGCCGGCCACGGUAGGGUCAGCGACUGGGGUGAAGUCGUAACAAGGUAGCCGU
RNAcentral lists this ribosomal RNA (507 nucleotides) under uncultured Alphaproteobacteria bacterium. RNAcentral's name for it is "bacterial SSU rRNA". It matches the Rfam family "Bacterial small subunit ribosomal RNA", at positions 996 to 1503 of the family's 1533-position model. The record is from RNAcentral. Lineage: Bacteria; Pseudomonadati; Pseudomonadota; Alphaproteobacteria.